UAGUCGUGUGGCUGAUAGUGCAGCACAAAGUGGGAGGUAAACUCCUUCUAAAGCUAAAUAUCACCACGAGACCGAUAGCGAACAAGUACCGUGAGGGAAAGUUGAAAAGCACUCUGAAUAGAGAGUCAAAAAGUACGUGAAACUGCCUAGGGCUCAAGCCCGUUGAACUCGAUUAUCCGAGCGGAGACAUUCACCUGCGGUUGGUCGGCUUCGGCCGGCAGGCCGCAGGGCACUUGUCUCCCGCGUCAAGAGGACAUUGCGAUCCAUUACGAAACAGCUUUCGUGUCGCAAGACGCAAGGUCGCCCGACAGUUGCCCCUUGGUGCUGGUUGCUUGCCCCACAGUAGCGACGCUCAGUUCUGAAGGCCUGUGCCGCGAGGUGGGGCUUACUGCACGUGGUGUUUGCAGUCGGGCGCGUGAUGGAUUUCCGCGUACACCGCCGGUCUUCCCGCAAUGGGCCGGCGGACUGUCGAUCGGCAA
Molecule: ribosomal RNA, 479 nt
Filed under: Ochlerotatus squamiger
Lineage: Eukaryota; Metazoa; Arthropoda; Insecta; Diptera; Culicidae
Description: eukaryotic LSU rRNA
Rfam family: Eukaryotic large subunit ribosomal RNA
Source: RNAcentral